GCCAGACUCCUACGGGAGGCAGCAGUGGGGAAUAUUGCACAAUGGGGGAAACCCUGAUGCAGCGACGCCGCGUGAGUGAAGAAGUAUUUCGGUAUGUAAAGCUCUAUCGGCAGGAACGAGACAAGACGGUACCUGACUAAGAAGCCCCGGCUAACUACGUGCCAGCAGCCGCGGUAAUACGUAGGGGGCAAGCGUUAUCCGGAAUCACUGGGUGUAAAGGGAGCGUAGACGGCUGUGCAAGCCUGAAGUGAAAGGCGGGGGCCCAACCCCUGGACUGCUUUGGGAACUGUACGGCUGGAGUGCAGGAGAGGUAAGUGGAAUUCCUAGUGUAGCGGUGAAAUGCGUAGAUAUUAGGAGGAACACCAGUGGCGAAGGCGGCUUACUGGACUGUAACUGACGUUGAGGCUCGAAAGCGUGGGGAGCAAACAGGAUUAGAUACCCUUGUAGG
RNAcentral lists this ribosomal RNA (448 nucleotides) under uncultured bacterium. Its description in RNAcentral is "bacterial SSU rRNA". It matches the Rfam family "Bacterial small subunit ribosomal RNA", at positions 330 to 794 of the family's 1533-position model. The record is from RNAcentral.